This 235-nucleotide long non-coding RNA is filed under the name Carica papaya (papaya). RNAcentral describes it as "long non-coding RNA (CPAP_LNC013047)". The record is from RNAcentral. Lineage: Eukaryota; Viridiplantae; Streptophyta; Magnoliopsida; Brassicales; Caricaceae.
UGGCCCUAAGUGUGUUUUCUCGCAGGAAUCGUGCAAGUUCGGCUGAAUUCAGCCAAAAAGGGCUGAAAAUAGCCAACCCGAGGCGGAUCGCCGCCUCGGGCGGCGGCGCCGUCGCCGGAGCACGGCAAAGCUGCCGUGUCGAAAGUUUUAAAAUUGGUCGAGUGGGCCCUGGGUCUGAUUUUUGGGUUUAUUUGGGAUAAUUGUAGGUACUGUAAGCGGAUUUCAGUUCCCGAAG